UUAACUUGUUGUAUAGUACUCAGACGACAAUAUUCAGAGUUUAGGAGUCUCCGGCGGGCGCGAGCCAGCUUACGCCGGCAGCCGUGAGGCAGGCCCGCCAAAGCAACAAAGUAUAAUAAACAAAGGGUGGGAGAUCUACCGCGAAGGGCAAAUUCUCUUCAGUGAUCCUUCCGCAGGUUCACCUACAGAAA
This 191-nucleotide unclassified non-coding RNA is filed under the name uncultured fungus. RNAcentral describes it as "sequence contains ITS1". Lineage: Eukaryota; Fungi. The record is from RNAcentral.